AAAAAGGCUUUGAAAAGGAAUAGUAGUUGUUAAGUGGUUAACAGAGAGCUGUCGGCAGGUGUAAGACAGCAGAAGCGAUGCAAUGAACUCACCUUGGAGCUGCCGGCUGAAUGGUUUGGAUAGUAAGACGGACGAAGUAAUCUUAUUAUUUCAAGAGUAGGCUUGGACGGAUUCCACCGUUAAAGGGAGCGGAUGUCAAAGGCAUCCUUAGAGAGCAUGUAUAACAUGAAGCAGAGUGGUACCGCGUAGGUAGAGAAUACGUCCCUGCA
RNAcentral lists this non-coding RNA (269 nucleotides) under Eubacterium ventriosum. RNAcentral's name for it is "T-box sequence". It matches the Rfam family "T-box leader". From Rfam's summary of the family: Uncharged tRNA acts as the effector for transcription antitermination of genes in the T-box leader family. The record is from RNAcentral. Lineage: Bacteria; Bacillati; Bacillota; Clostridia; Eubacteriales; Eubacteriaceae.